UGGGGAUAAUUCCGGAUAACGCAUAUAUGCUGGAAUGCUUUAUGCGUAAAAUGGAUUCGUCUGCCCAAGGAUGGGUCUGCGGCCUAUCAGGUAGUAGUGGGUGUAAUGUACCUACUAGCCGACGACGGGUACGGGUUGUGAGAGCAAGAGCCCGGAGAUGGAUUCUGAGACAUGAAUCCAGGCCCUACGGGGCGCAGCAGGCGCGAAAACUUUACAAUGCGGGAAACCGUGAUAAGGGGACACCGAGUGCCAGCAUCAUAUGCUGGCUGUCCAGGUGUGUAAAAUACACCUGUUAGCAAGGGCCGGGCAAGACCGGUGCCAGCCGCCGCGGUAACACCGGCGGCCCGAGUGGUGAUCGUGAUUAUUGGGUCUAAAGGGUCCGUAGCCGGUUUGGUCAGUCCUCCGGGAAAUCUGACGGCUCAACCGUUAGGCUUUCGGGGGAUACUGCCAGGCUUGGAACCGGGAGAGGUAAGAGGUACUACAGGGGUAGGAGUGAAAUCUUGUAAUCCCUGUGGGACCACCUGUGGCGAAGGCGUCUUACCAGAACGGGUUCGACGGUGAGGGACGAAAGCUGGGGGCACGAACCGGAUUAGAUACCCGGGUAGUCCCAGCCGUAAACGAUGCUCGCUAGGUGUCAGGCAUGGCGCGACCGUGUCUGGUGCCGCAGGGAAGCCGUGAAGCGAGCCACCUGGGAAGUACGGCCGCAAGGCUGAACUUAAAGGAAU
Molecule: ribosomal RNA, 725 nt
Filed under: uncultured archaeon
Lineage: Archaea
Description: bacterial SSU rRNA
Rfam family: Archaeal small subunit ribosomal RNA
Source: RNAcentral